GCAUCUUUAGCUUAAUGGAUAAAGCAACAACCUUCUAAGUUGUUGAUUAUAGGUUCAAGUCCUAUAAGAUGUU
This 73-nucleotide transfer RNA is filed under the name Aureoumbra lagunensis. RNAcentral describes it as "tRNA-Arg". It matches the Rfam family "tRNA". Rfam says of the family: Transfer RNA (tRNA) molecules are approximately 80 nucleotides in length. Their secondary structure includes four short double-helical elements and three loops (D, anti-codon, and T loops). Lineage: Eukaryota; Pelagophyceae; Sarcinochrysidales; Sarcinochrysidaceae. The record is from RNAcentral.